Molecule: ribosomal RNA, 566 nt
Filed under: uncultured bacterium
Lineage: Bacteria
Description: bacterial SSU rRNA
Rfam family: Bacterial small subunit ribosomal RNA
Source: RNAcentral
CCUACGGGAGGCAGCAGUGGGGAAUCUUGCGCAAUGGGCGAAAGCCUGACGCAGCAACGCCGCGUGCGGGAUGAAGGCCUUCGGGUUGUAAACCGCUUUCAGCAGGGAAGAAAUUGACGGUACCUGCAGAAGAAGCCCCGGCCAACUACGUGCCAGCAGCCGCGGUAACACGUAGGGGGCGAGCGUUGUCCGGAUUUAUUGGGCGUAAAGAGCUCGUAGGCGGUUCGGUAAGUCGGGUGUGAAACCUCCAGGCUCAACCUGGAGACGCCACCUGAUACUGCUGUGACUAGAGUCCGGUAGGGGAGUGUGGAACUCCUGGUGUAGCGGUGAAAUGCGCAGAUAUCAGGAAGAACACCAGCGGCGAAGGCGGCACUCUGGGCCGGUACUGACGCUGAGGAGCGAAAGCGUGGGUAGCAAACGAGGAUUAGAUACCCUGGUAGUCCACGCCGUAAACGUUGGGCACUAGGUGUGGGUCUCAACCAACGAGAUCCGUGCCGCAGCUAACGCAUUAAGUGCCCCGCCUGGGGAGUACGGGCCGCAAGGCUAAAACUUAAAGGAAUUGACGG